AAUUCUAAUCGACACAUUUAAGAGUUUUUCUUCUUUUAUUUUCUUGGUUCCUAUUGGUUUUCUUUUCUUAUUGACAUUCUUUGAUCUUUUUCUCUUCUCUCAAACCCAAGAUAUAACAACUUAAAAACACACAAACUCACUCACCAUCCUAGAUGCUAGUUCAAAUGAGGAUCUUAUGCUAGCAAUAGAUGAGAACAAACAUAUGUCGCUCCCAAUACUCUCAAGAUUUUGC
Molecule: long non-coding RNA, 232 nt
Filed under: Brassica napus (rape)
Lineage: Eukaryota; Viridiplantae; Streptophyta; Magnoliopsida; Brassicales; Brassicaceae
Description: long non-coding RNA (BNAP_LNC022128)
Source: RNAcentral